UUAGCGGCGGACGGGUGAGUAACACGUGAGUAACCUGCCUUUUACACAGGGAUAGCCUCGGGAAACCGGGAUUAAAACCUGAUGAAACUAAUCAAAUCACAUGAUUAAGAAAGUUAAAAACUCCGGUGGUAAAAGAUGGACUCGCGUCCCAUUAGCUAGUUGGUGAAGGUAACGGCCCACCAAGGCAACGAUGGGUAGCCGGCCUGAGAGGGUGAACGGCCACAUUGGAACUGAGAAACGGUCCAAACUCCUACGGGAGGCAGCAGUU
RNAcentral lists this ribosomal RNA (268 nucleotides) under uncultured Peptoniphilus sp. RNAcentral's name for it is "partial 16S ribosomal RNA". It matches the Rfam family "Bacterial small subunit ribosomal RNA", at positions 92 to 355 of the family's 1533-position model. The record is from RNAcentral. Lineage: Bacteria; Bacillati; Bacillota; Tissierellia; Tissierellales; Peptoniphilaceae.